RNAcentral lists this unclassified non-coding RNA (487 nucleotides) under Zea mays. Its description in RNAcentral is "misc RNA Zm00001eb344670". Lineage: Eukaryota; Viridiplantae; Streptophyta; Magnoliopsida; Poales; Poaceae. The record is from RNAcentral.
AGAAAAUGGCUGCUAUAUUACUAUCUUCAGAACUGAAUAAGAGAAGGGGGUGUCUAUUAUACAAAAAUGAUAAAGAAGUUGACUCUGGAAGCCCAUCGGAUGUUGAGAUAUUAGAAAACCCAACAGAUUCUAAGAAGAGGAAGCUACUCCACGUGCUUGAUGAUAACGAAGUAGUGUAUGAAGAUGAGGAAGGCCCUAUUACUCAAGCAGACUUGCAAAAGUGGUUUGUUGAUGAUUGGGAUAAAAGAACUCCUGUAAAAGUAUCUAACGAUGGGUGCACCAAUGACUUUUUAAUGGUUGGUCUUUCCACAAAGGACAUGCCAGUGACCAAAGCCGAUUCAAUAGAUGUUUUAUGUGAUUAUAUCAUGACAAUAGAAGACGAUACGACACUAGAGUAAGUGCUCAUUGAUUUAUCUAUUUUAUGUAUAUCAACUACUUAGAUUCUUGAUAUAGACUUUCGUCAUGCUACAUUACAGGAUGACAUGGG